GACGAACGCUGGCGGCGUGCCUAAUACAUGCAAGUUGAGCGAUGAAGCUUGGUGCUUGCCCCAAUUUGAAGAGCAGCGAACGGGUGAGUAACGCGUGGGGAAUCUGCCUUUGAGCGGGGGACAACAUUUGGAAACGAAUGCUAAUACCGCAUAAUAACUUUAAACAUAAGUUUUAAGUUUGAAAGAUGCAAUUGCAUCACUCAAAGAUGAUCCCGCGUUGUAUUAGCUAGUUGGUGAGGUAAAGGCUCACCAAGGCGAUGAUACAUAGCCGACCUGAGAGGGUGAUCGGCCACAUUGGGACUGAGACACGGCCCAAACUCCUACGGGAGGCAGCAGUAGGGAAUCUUCGGCAAUGGACGAAAGUCUGACCGAGCAACGCCGCGUGAGUGAAGAAGGUUUUCGGAUCGUAAAACUCGGUUGGUAGAGAAGAACGUUGGUGAGAGUGGAAAGCUCAUCAAGUGACGGUAACUACCCAGAAAGGGACGGCUAACUACGUG
RNAcentral lists this ribosomal RNA (497 nucleotides) under uncultured bacterium. Its description in RNAcentral is "partial 16S ribosomal RNA". It matches the Rfam family "Bacterial small subunit ribosomal RNA", at positions 28 to 507 of the family's 1533-position model. The record is from RNAcentral.